UUAUUUAUUGAGUGCUCGUGUUUGUCAUGGCUGAAGAUGACAUCUUAUUAAAGAGUCAUGACACUGGGUGAUUUUUUUAAGCCUAGGGGCCAAGAAGGCUAAUGAACAGGGAUAGCUCCAGGAAUAGAUGGAGGGAAGUGCUGUUUUCAGGUCACAGGCAAAGCUGACUAAUGUUUCACUGACCUGAUUUCUGGGUGAUUUCCAGGCACAUCUUGCUCCUGCUGAUUAGGGAUGGAUACUUCUUGCCAUGGCCUGACAGUGCUGGCUCAGGGGGAAGCUGUUCUCUCAAGAGAACCCAUGGCAAGGGAGCAAAGCCUGAGAUGUGUCAUGAGAAAGCUCCCACCCACAGACAGCCAAACAGCAGCACUCCUGCAAACAAGGGCAUGUGGCAGGUAAUGGCUUUUGGACAGGUUCCCCCAAAUCUCACCUUGCAGGAAGUUUGGAGGAGAGCUCUCAGACACCACAGGCAAUAGCUGGGGGAGUGUGGGAAUCGAGACCCCGCUCGUCACUGUGGCACCUUCACUCCUGUGUGAUACUUGUCAGGACAGCCAGACCGACAGCAGGGCUGCCCUGGCACCAGCUCUGCAAGGCUCACCCUCCUUGGGCUGAAACAAGAGCUGCCUCCAUGCACUGGCUCCUUAUCGCUGACCCGCUCUCUGCGAGAAGCAUCCAGCAGCUUGGAGGAAUUCACCCACACCGUUAGCCCCUCAAUACCCUCCCAAACUGCUUUGCCUGCUGCUCUCCAAGAGACAGGACCUGGGUCUGGCUCAGCAAGGAUUCUAUCCAGACUUUCUUCCAAAGAGGAGAUCAGGAUGGUGCUGGGGAUGAGGCAGAGCUAUGAUCUGCUCCUGGAGGAUGAUGCUUUGCUGCUCUGUGCCUCAGUUUCCCUGCUCAGCCUUGUGAUUCCUGACCAUUUUUGUGAUGGGCCGGGAGUGUUAAUUAUAGACAUGCGAUUUAACAGCCUGACCUUUUGUUACUGCAGCUUGUCCUUCAAUACUCAUUUCAGCCUGAAGAUGUGGGAGUUGUUUCCAGAUGCCUUAACCUGGCUGGAGCAAUAACCAGAAAAAUAAAUCCCUUCAUUUCUCACUGAGCUGAAUUAUCUGGGUAAUUAGUGAGUGUGACAGCAAUGCUCACACAGCUCCAGCGUGAGAGUUUGGGAUCGUGGCUGGGGGGAUGUUGAUGC
Molecule: long non-coding RNA, 1183 nt
Filed under: Taeniopygia guttata (zebra finch)
Lineage: Eukaryota; Metazoa; Chordata; Aves; Passeriformes; Estrildidae
Description: lncRNA (ENSTGUG00000029570.1)
Source: RNAcentral